Molecule: unclassified non-coding RNA, 389 nt
Filed under: uncultured bacterium
Lineage: Bacteria
Description: contains 16S-23S intergenic spacer region
Source: RNAcentral
UCCUGGUUUCCCAGGCAGUCCCGCCAGAGUGCUUUACCUAAAAAGGCAGUGGCAACUGACGGCAAGGGUUGCGCUCGUUAAAGGACUUAACCCAACAUCUCACGACACGAGCUGACGACAGCCAUGCAGCACCUGUGUAAAUGUCUAGACUAAAAGCCUAGAAAGCUUCAUCUCUGAAGCGGUCAUAUACAUGUCAAACCCAGGUAAGGUUCCUCGCGUAGUGUCGAAUUAAACCACAUGUUCCACCGCUUGUGCGGACCCCCGUCAAUUCCUUUGAGUUUUAGUCUUGCGACCGUAAUCCCCAGGCGAAUCACUUAACGCGUUAGCUACGACACUAAUUCAAAAAAAUGAACUAACAUCUAGUGAUUAUCGUUUACAGCGUGGACUAC